GCAUGAACCACUGUGCCUGACCAGUUUUUAAAUAAAACACUUUAAGUGAGUUAUUCACAUAUCCCUUGUAUUUAUAUAGGGUACAGCUUUUUUUGUUUUAAAGCUGUUUGAAUUGUUCUCCAACUUUCUGAGACCCAAAUGCUUUUUUGGCUUAUGAAAUUGCCAUUAAUCAAGAUGCAUUCAUAAGGUAUCAAUUCCCUGAAAUGUAGGUAUUUAGUCCACUCCAUCCAUCCAUCCAUCCAUCCAUCCAUCCAUCCAUCCAUCCGAUAAUUUUUGUUUGAAGUCCCUAAAAUAACCAACCAUCCUUUAUAUGACUGAAUUUGAGAACCUAUGGCAAUUAACAGAUGAUAAAUGGCACACAGAUCCUUACUGUUUAUUAAGCAACUGAAAAUAGGCUCAGGGGAAAAUGAUACUUGUAAAUGUUAGAGAUUUUGCCAUGGAGGGAUUUCACCAAACAUAUGCAACUACAAAAUAUAGAACGUCAAACCCAGGCACAAUAAACUCAUUCUGGGCUUAGGACCUGCUAAUUGGUUUCACAUGUGUGUGGAACCAACCCAGGGCUGGAUUCCAAUAUGGGGAGAGAAAUGAGGUAUUUCACUGAAUGGUAUGACUGAGUUAGACUGAAGGAACUCUUAUAUGACACUGUACUAUGACUUUAAUCAGCAUUAGUGUUAGGAUGACAUUUUGCUUAGAGGGAUAUUGAUGGUAAAAAAGAAGAGUGUUUUUACUCCAGUUCACCAUUUCCUAAGCAUGACCUUGAGCUAUUCAUUCACUUUAUGUAGUCAUUUAGUAAAUAUUUAUUGAGCCGUAUAUAGGCCAAGCACUCUGUGAGGUGAUGGAAAUUCUCCUGCCCUCAAAAAGUAACAGUAAUUAUUAUUUGCAAUCUACCUCCUUAAGGCAUAACCAUGCCUAUCUUUCAGAGUUGUGUGUAAUAGGAUACUAAGUGGAAUUCUUUUGCUGUCUCAUAGUUGUCUACUUGGCUCCAAAGUUAGAGAUAAAUAGGUGAAAAUUAGGGGACAAAUAGAUGAUUGGUAAACACCGAUCAUUAAGAGGCAAAUUCAUUCUGCUAUUCUGCUUACCACUGUACUCACUAAUCUUGAGGGGACUAUUGAAUUGUAAAUAUUCAGCCUCAGAAAGGGUUCUGUGCCUUUUCCUUUUACUCUUUGUCAGUGCUCCUUAUGCAUAACCCAAUGGGGUAUUCCAAGGAAAAUAUUUUUAAUGAUUGGGGGGUGCCUGCAAUAAGUUGAGCCUGAAAUCUCAUUUUUCAGUUGGAUACCUACUCAUGUAAUGGAUCUGUACUAUUCUUUUUGCUUACUCCAGCAGUAGGAAAAAAAUAUAGGGACAGGACUCAGGAAAGAGAAAAUGAGCAAUAGGGCAAUGAGGCACACUCCCAUUGUCUGGCAGAAAAGAGAUGCAUGAGUCUUCCGUAGAUCAAGUAGAUACGACAAAGGUACCAGGCUUGAACUAUUGUGAUGCAAGUCCAUUCUAGACUGUGACUUACUAAGAGAAGAGACCCCCAGCAGCAAAAGCCUGUAAGGUGAGUUAUGUAGGAAACUAAGAGAGACUGGAAGAGGUCUACAGGAGCUGCUUUCCUAUGAAAGGAGGUUGUGCAAUGAAGAAACUGCCUGUUACAUGGAGGACAGAGGUCACAACAGCAACUGGUAAGCAAAACAUUUCUGCUGCCUUUUGAGAAUUCUCUCUUCUUCCUCAACAUAGAAAAGGGCUCAGAAAAUGCAAGAGGGAGGGGAAAGAGUUAAGAGUAGCCUCCUCUCCCUGCCACUGUGUCCUGGGGAGGAGAUGGACAUUUGAAUUGAACAAGAAACUGAAGUGGAUGGCACUGGAUUGCAUAUUUUCCAAACUAAAAAGUUCAGAAAAUUGGCAUUUGCAGGAGAAGCCAUGAAGUCUUGGGAAUGGGAGAUUCGACAGAGCAUGUUACAACCACAGUAGGAGAAAAAUAAUAGCUUCUCAGGUUUGAACCCUGCUGAGUUCACAGUGUUCAAUAAGUUGCUGACAAAUGUAAAGUGCUUAGACAAGUAGGUAGUGCUCUACAAAUGGUAGAUAUUAUUCUGGUCACCUAGAGAGAAUAAAUGUUCAGAAAAUGUCUACAUGUGUUUUUCUAUCAAAGAGCGAAUAAGAUAUUCAAUUUGUAUUUUUGCUUUAGAUAAAGCAUAGUACGCUUAUUAUGCCUUCAAGUCUUCAUUUCCCCCACGAAGGAAAGUUUUUCUAUGUUAUUUGACUAUAUGCCUUUUGCUGCGCUGGGCAUUUGCCUUCUUUGACCUUUUAUGGACAGUUGCACUUUACCCGCCAGGGAUUGAGGAGAUUACAAAGGUCAUCUAACCAUCUAAUCUCAUUUCCAAUUUGGUUAAGAUAAAAUAUUGUUUUAUUACUGGAAAAAUACUUUGUUUUUAAAAUCAAAGUGUCUUGUGCUGGUUUGCAAACAAAGUCAUUUCUACACGCUAAUAACACAAAGAGGAGACUAGAUGUGGUGAAGUAGAAGAAACAGGACACUGGCUUUGGAGCCAGGGGACCCGGAGUGGCUCCCAGUAAUGUGAUAUUUUAUGUGUUUUCCAACCCCAUGCAGCAUCUAUUUCCUCACCUGUAAAAUAGGGAUUUUGACAAGGACCACACUGAGUUAUUGUGAAGAGUAAAUAGAUGAUUAUAGAAAACAUGUCACCCAGUGCUAGGGACAUAGCUGAAGCUUGUCCUGUUUCCAAGGUUACAGAGUCAGAAGACACCCCUAAGAAGAAUAAGGUACUGUUGUGCAGAAAGAAGGCAUUGGGAAAGUCAAAAGGACACCAGAAGUGGUGAACUCAACAUUCAUUUACACAUUUGACCAAGGGUGGUGAUCAUUUAUGCAGCAGUAUUGAGAUGAUCCAUAGAAAGUCAUGAUGACACUAUUGGAGCAAAAUCACAAUAUUGGUAUUUUCAUAUGUAUCUCAUGAUGUAUAUAAAUACUCAUAUUAACAUCCAUUGUUUAAAAACUGUUCAGAAUUCAGAAAAGUUUAAAAAAUUAUUCAAACUAAAUAUUACAUAUAUUGACUAUAACUUAAAUUUCAAAAUGUAAACAUUAACCAUCUAUUAUCAUUAUAAUUUGAAUUAUCUGGAUAAAAAGCAAUAACAAAUAUAUAAAAUAAAGUAAACAUUUUAUAAAAUGAAGAAAAUGAAUCCUGAAAAUUGAAAAUGAAUUAAAUUGGAUUUACUGGCAAAUAUGGUCUUAAGAACAAUGUGUAUCAAUGGUGUUAUCUUUGAUGAUGGGCCUCAUUUUGGGGCAAAUUCUUCUAGCCACUAGAAACAAUGUCCAUAAUUUACAAUAGACAGAAAAAUAGUGAAGAGACAAAAAGCAACUAAGUCCAAAUGUCUUCCUCUGGAACUUUUAUUUACAAAUAAUUCCAUCUCUUUCUGAUAGUACAAAGAUGAUCUUUUAGAAAUUUUUAUUUGUAUUAAAGACUACAAUAUUUUUAUUGACAGCUGUAGUUUUUGUUACUAAGGCCCAGAAGUCAGCUUACUGGAUGCCUGGUUCUUAGCUUUUGCUGUGAAAUAGCCUUCCUUAAAACAAAACAAAUCCAUCAGACAGGCAAGAGCUUCUACCACUAAACACUGACUGUUUUAGCUAUCAAUCUGAUACCAUUGGAGGCAGUCCUAUAUUGAGAGUAAGACGGACUCCUUUUUCCUUAUAAUUCUCUUUUAGGGAGGGCCUAUUUAAUUAAAUAUUGAGGGAAAACUUUUUCUUUCUUAAAUCUUCUUUCAGGAAGUAGAACGAGGGUGAAUUUAAUCUGGGAAAAUUUGGGUUACUGUCCCAGUCGUCUUCGCUUUCUAGCUCAGAGGCCUUGAGAGAUCAUAAGGCCUCUCUUUUAAUGCUGGGUUUAACUUUCUGGUACUUCUCAAAGCAGAAAUAAUUCAUGUCUCAGGUUAAAAAAGUAUUAAAAUAAUGAUAUCAUACUAACAAAAUAUUGGUGUUUGGGUACAUAAGAGUAUGUAGUAUGAUCUACUAGAGUUCUAGAAUGUUGACAAUUGAUGGUGCAAUUACUAAUUAAAAUUAUCUUGCUCAGAAGGUUUUACUCCAUUAAACUACACUUUUUAGAGUAACUCACUUUGGUUUAAGGCACCUGUUCAUAGGAUAUCCUUAAAUAUAUGAAUAUUGCCUUAGGAAUUACCCUUUUAGUCAUUAAUAACUGGGCAUAAAUCACUUAUCAGCCAGGCAAUCAAGAACAGGACCCAGAACAAGUCUUUUUCUUUCUUUCUUUCUUAUUUCCUUAGGCGGAGCAAUGGAAAGAGAACUAUGCACAAGGAUGAGGAGAAUAUUUCUGAUUGUGGGACAGGACCCCGGGAGGGAGGUAUAGCAGACUGGUCUUGGAAAGCCUGCAGCUGCAUCAGGAAGAGCCUUUGCAUAAGUGCACCUGAGACAACAGACGGCAAAAAAAAUAGCCUAUGCUGUGACCAGCUCGAGGAUGGGGGAAAAUCAUGCGCAAUAUGUGCUAAUUAUGUGAAGAAAAGCACAAGUUAAUAUGAUCACAAAAAUAUUGAGAAAAACAUAGGGUGAAGGAGGAUUUGCAGGGAAGGCUGCAAAAACCAGGGUGAGAGAUGCUGAGUCUUCUGAGUUUCAUGACCAUUGGAACGGCAUGAGUCAAUCAACUAUUGCUGAUCUCCUCUGAUCAGGACCGUGGGCAAGCAACAGUCCGGGGUUGAGGGCAGAUGAAGCCCAGGAGGAUCUGAGGAAAUGUACAAGAUAGGUCUGGAAGAGUGAGGAAAAUGGAUGGUGAAAAACUUAGCAUGUCUAGAGGGAUUGAGGCCUCAACAAAUGUGUAACUUAGUGUAUGUAGUAUUGGAGUGACAUUCUAGGAAUGGCCAAAAGCUAGGAUUUCAUAGGCUGAUUUGGGUGAAUUUGAAAUGUGUGCCCAUUUUGUUGUGCUUAUUAUGACUGAUCCCAUAGUUUUACCUAUUCGAUGAUCAUCUCAACUUGCUUCUUAAACAGCUGAGCCCAGAAAGCUAAAACUAGCACUUUUCAGACUUCAGUGAAGUUAGAGUUCUGGAUAUGAUUCAGGUUCUACCAAAGAGAUGUAUUCAUGAUAACUGAAUUUAGAACUGAAGGAAGUAGGGGAGAGAAGCAUGAGCUGUGAUGGCAGUAGUUGCUGGGUAUGUGGCCAGCAGCCACUGUGGUACUUCCUAUCAUGACAGAGUCAGCUGCUCUCAGGGGUGCCCAGUUGUGUGUUGUGGCUUUGGACAUUUCCCCUGAAUGCUCAACCUAGAGACUGUUUAUCUCUCAAGUGAUUUGCAAACCUUUUAAUGCUCUGUGAAAGAAAAAUUAUUCCCUUUUGCCUAAACCAGUUAGAGUGGAUUCUAUUCUGAGGAAAUGACCAUUAACAUAAAAAUUUUUAAAGGUUUGCUGGAGAAGUUUGGGAUAGAGAUAUAAAUAGCAAAAUGGAAGGUAGAGAUAUUAAUUCUGGCUCUUAGAUGGUGGGCAACUCAGUAUCCACAAUUAUUAAACCUGAUUGUUCCUCUCAGCACACAUUCAUAUAGAUACCAUGCAUGAAGAAUAUAGAAGAACCCUGAAGGUAUCCAGUUGAAAUUUACUUCCCAGUCAUCAUUAAACAUUUAGAGAACUUCAACAAAACAUGCUGCAUGUUAAGGACUUUAGCACCUAAAAAUGAGGAAAGAUGCAGCUUUUGAUUUUAGACAUCUGUUGUUUUCAAGGGAAAGCCUUCUGUAUCCCUGCACACUUUAAGCAGGUAAAUGUUAGGUUGCUGCAUCAGCUCAUGGACUCUGCAUAACUUCUGAUGUCCUUCUGACAAACCUUGAUCCCUUAUUGCAUCAUGUGACCGCCUCUCCCCCAGCUCGAGCUCUGCCUAGCAGGUAAGUAAAAGGUCAUUUUCAAGAAGCUGCAGUUAGAUAAGUAAAGAACAACUUGUACCUAAUUUCAUAUUUUAUCUGAAGGUAUGUGGAAAGCAAUUGACCCAGAAACGUUAAAUAACUGGUUUACAUCUAAAUGGUUUUUGACUAAAACCUUAAAGCUAGACCUAUCAAAGGG
Chlorocebus sabaeus (green monkey) is the source of this 6025-nucleotide non-coding RNA. NCBI's taxonomy places the organism in Eukaryota, Metazoa, Chordata, Mammalia, Primates, Cercopithecidae. The record is from RefSeq and is a predicted model, not a curated record.